CUGGCUGGCAAACAUGCCCUCUUCGUUGGGGUAUCCCGCGAUUAUGCAAGAUGAGGAAGAAGUAGAGAGCUCGGGGUACCAAAUUACAUAUAUAUCUGUCAAAAUGAUGUAGGACCUAAAGUCUCUCUGUAAGUUGAUCCUUUUGACCCCAUGAUUAGGAGCUUCACAAUGUGGUACCACACCUGGAAACCUCCAGAACAAGAUCUCAAGGAAACACAGGAAAUUCCUGAAACAGCAAAACCCCCUAUGUGAAGACGUCUGUUAUUCCUUUGUGUAUCAGGAGCAUCACUGUUAAUUAACUGUUGAUACACUUAAAACAGCUUGGUUGGCAAUGUCCUUUUUGAAUAAAGAAGAGCCAGGUGUGUUUUUCAGGAUGAACUAGACAAUGCUGUCACAAGUUUACCUCUACAUCUUAUUGCCUUGGAAAAAUUUCCUGCAUAUCGUGGCACAAGAUGGUUGGCUCUCCAGGCAGCAGUUGGCGUUGUGAAUCAGUCAUCUCAGCAUGUGUCUCCAAGAUCCCACAGCAGGGGGAAAAAGAGGUGGAGGGUCACAUGCCUGGUGUUACAUACUUUGAGGCAGAGGUGGUAGGUGCCAUUUCUGCUCACAGCUCAUGGACCAGAACAAAGCCAUGCAUACCUGAGAGAGGACCAGAAAAUAUUCUGAAGCAGAUGGCUAUUUGGUGAGCAGUAAAUGUUUCUGUUACAACAGGUCUUGACAAACUUCAAAUGUACUCCUACUAGGCCUACUUCACACCACUAAACUCUGUACUUCCUGUUGCUUGAUGGCAUCUUAUGCUGAUGUUUUCUAUCAUAGUGUCCGGCACAAAACAAGAGCUCAAUACAUAUACUUAAUAGCGCAUUUAGAUCUAAGAGUUUCACUUUAUCAAAAGAUUUUAGUACCUACGUAGCUAUUGGGCCACAUCAGGAAAAUGUAACUGCUUCUACAACUGCAAAGAAAAUUUAACUAAUUGUAUGCUCAUCCCAGCUUCAGGUUUUUGUUUUGUUUUGUUUGCUAGCUUCUUUUUAUUUCAUAAUUUUUGCUUUGUUUUCUGCCCUUGAGCAGAGGUUCAUUUCUAGUUUUCACUGGAAUUAGAACAACAGUUGUGUCCAUAUGCAAUAACAGUGUUUCAAAUUCUUUGGGGAUUUGCCCACAGUGUCUGCAGUCAUAUUGUGACACCAGUUGUGAUGCCAGUCUCUGUAAAUCAGACUUAUUCCCAGUGAGACAUUAUAUAUUUUUGCAGCCAAUACGAUCUAUUUUAUAGCGAUUUAUAGCAUUGUCUCUGAAAAGGAUACUUUGAUUUGUGUCUUGUUUUUGUCAGUUUUCAACACUUUGAUUGUGGCCCAGGUUAAUUAAUAUUUUGUGUCUAGGUUUCCUCAUCUCUAAAAUAAAGAUGUUUAUUUCUAUAGCUUCAUGUUGACAAUUAAAUUAUAUAAUUUAUGUUACUCAACUAGCAAGUAAAUUGAUGUACAGUGUAUUUAUAAAUGAUAGAUACUAUCUUUAUGUUAAUUUUUAUUAUUGUCAUCAUUAUCAUCAAUUUUCAGGUCCGUGUUCUGACUAAAAGGAAGCCACACUCUGUCGAAAACAAGCUUUGUAAGAAAAUUUUGAAGUAUUUACUUAUAUCUAACCAUUCAUUCCACCUUUUCUCCCAAAUAACACUCUAAUAUCUUGAGACAUCUUGUCUAGGGCCAGAUUUCAUAAAUGCUUGUGAGGCAGGAGAAUAAGUUCCAGAGGCAGUUCACACUGCCUAAAGCCAAUUCACACUGACUUCCUAUAACUAAAUCUAAAGGAAAAUCUCAACUUUCCUCGCCCAAGUAACAAAAGAAUCAGAGGUUAUACUCCCUUUGCAACCUGCCCCUUUUCUGCCUGGCAGAUGAAAAAUGAAAAGUACCUAUGACUGGUCCCCUCCCACGACCAGCCAGACUGGUCACGGAUCACUACUUCAUUUACAUAGGGCGUAAACCGAGUAACCAAUGGGAAACCUCUAGAGGGUAUUUAAACCCCAGAAAAUUCUGUAACCGGUGGUCUCCAGCAGGUUGCUCAAUCUUGCUGCCACUCUGUGGGAUGUACUUUUGUUUCAAUAAAUCUGUGCUCUUC
RNAcentral lists this long non-coding RNA (2094 nucleotides) under Homo sapiens (human). Its description in RNAcentral is "HSALNT0339326". The record is from RNAcentral. Lineage: Eukaryota; Metazoa; Chordata; Mammalia; Primates; Hominidae.